RNAcentral lists this ribosomal RNA (253 nucleotides) under uncultured bacterium. RNAcentral's name for it is "partial 16S ribosomal RNA". It matches the Rfam family "Bacterial small subunit ribosomal RNA", at positions 524 to 776 of the family's 1533-position model. The record is from RNAcentral.
UACAGAGGUGGCAAGCGUUGUUCGGAAUUACUGGGCGUAAAGGGCGCGUAGGCGGCCUCGCAAGUCCCGUGUGAAAUCCCUCGGCUCAACUGAGGAAUGGCACGGGAAACUGCGGGGCUUGAGUUCGGGAGAGGGAAGCGGAAUUCCGGGUGUAGCGGUGAAAUGCGUAGAUAUCUGGAGGAAUACCGGUGGCGAAGGCGGCAUCCUGGACCAUUACUGACGCUGAGGCGCGAAAGCUAGGGGAGCAAACGGG